Molecule: ribosomal RNA, 253 nt
Filed under: uncultured bacterium
Lineage: Bacteria
Description: partial 16S ribosomal RNA
Rfam family: Bacterial small subunit ribosomal RNA
Source: RNAcentral
UACAGAGGUGGCAAGCGUUGUUCGGAAUUACUGGGCGUAAAGGGCGCGUAGGCGGCCUUGUAAGUCCUGUGUGAAAUCCCCCGGCUCAACUGGGGAACUGCACAGGAGACUGCUUGGCUUGAGUUCGGGAGAGGGAAGCGGAAUUCCGGGUGUAGCGGUGAAAUGCGUAGAUAUCUGGAGGAACACCGGUGGCGAAGGCGGCAUUCUGGACCAUAACUGACACUGAGAGACGAAAGCCAGGGGAGCAAACGUG